Molecule: long non-coding RNA, 35093 nt
Filed under: Coffea arabica (coffee)
Lineage: Eukaryota; Viridiplantae; Streptophyta; Magnoliopsida; Gentianales; Rubiaceae
Description: long non-coding RNA (CARA_LNC004898)
Source: RNAcentral
CGGGUAGGUAUUAAAGAGCACCGAGAGUGUGCUCUGGUUAUUGGCUUUUGGUUUGGUAAGAAAUUCACCAUAAUGGUGAAUUGCAAAUCCCUCGCCUCUUCUGAUCACCCAUCUCCAACCCUUAGUCACUUCCCUCACUGCUCCCCAAACAACAGGAAAUAUAAUAGGGGAAAAAAAGAAAAGAAGCAAGUACAGGAAAGUUAAAUGUGUGACAAGGAAAUAAAAGCAUAAAGGAAAAUUGACAUCACUUUAUACCUGCCUCCUAUUAUCUCUUUUAGAUAAUAAUUGUGGAGUUUUUGGUUCUGGAGAGCACACAAUUUGUGGCAAGACUACAAAACUGACUUGAGUUAAAUUUCCUUAUAGCCAACACAUCCUGUUUCCAAAAUGUCCUUGUACAUGAAUUGUUUUGUAUAAUUGAUUUGAGUCGGGAUUUAUACCUUUUAUAAUUAUCAUAAACUUGAUAAAUUAAAUUAUUUACUAUACCAUUUUCUGUGUCUUACUCCUAAGAACUUUGUAAAAAUUGUCUGCUCAUCUGAAGUUGGGCAAUGUUAAUUUCAACAUCUGAAGUUAGGCAAAUAUUAAUUUCAAGUUGUCUCACAAGUUCACUUUAGUAUCAUUCGCAUUCCAUAGUUUUAGUGCCCUUGGAAAAGUUAAAAGAGUGUUUGAACGGCUGAUUAAUAGCGACAUUUUUGCUGUGAUUGAGAAUGGUUGGAUGUGGUCAUCGAGAUUGGAGCUCUUGCUCAGGUAUCUUAAAAUUGCAUGUAGGUUUGUCUCCGUUGCCCUUCCUUACCUCUUUUGAAAUUUGUUGAGUGUAAGAAGUUGCCCUGGGUACUGUUCUAGUGUUAGGUACUGCUUCUAUGGUAGGUUUUAAAAUAUUAAGUAGUAACCCUGGUAAGGGGGGAAUUUGCUUAUGGUGGCUUUUGGUUCAUUCAUUCAUUCAAUGGUACCAUUUUGAUUCAAAAGAUGGUGCUUCAUCCUGCAAAGCAAAGCUGAAUACUUAAGUUGAGCAACAUAGUGAUGGAUGGUGCCUUUUGGCCCUUGUUCAUGCCGAGACUGGAGACUGACAACUUAAUUCUGCACUGGGUAAAAAAUGUCGGGAGUAUUGGCCAUCUCUAUCCUUUUCUUUACUGUUUAGCACGUGCCUUUUCUGCUACUAAAAUCUUACUUUUGGAUUUAAAGGCUAUCAAAAACGUUUCAGCGGUUCAGAAGAUAUCCUGGUAUUUGACAUAUUACAUAUAGUUGUUUUGCCAUUUAAAAAUAUCCCUGGUAAGGGGAGGUUAGUUUGUCCAACUGGUAAAAUGUCCUCGUCAUUGUGCAACUCUAGCAGUGAUGGUGAUGCAUCUGGCCUUGGAAGCUGUAUAAUUCAAAGGUGAGCACGGCUAUGAGGCAUAAUGCCUGUCUGCCGUGCAAUAGGAUUUUACUAUAUCUGACAUAUGAAGUGCACAAAAUAGAAACGUAUUGUAUUUAUAAUGUCAUGUGUGCAGCAGAUCAAAGCACUCUUUAUGACUCUGCUCAUUUGCAAAAUAUUUUACUUUUGCAGGUUCGCUUAGUAACGGAUAAAUCGACAAAUAAACCAAGAGGCUAUGCUUUCAUUGAAUAUGUUCACACCCGUGAUAUGAAAGGUCUUGUAUCUGUAGAACACUUUGGCCUACUGAUUUUUUGGUUAUUGUUGUUGACAUUUCUUUCCUGAUGUUGUUUUAUCUUGAUUUAUUUUGUGACGUCAAUUUAUGCUAAUUGAUAUGUGCAGCUGCAUAUAAACAAGCUGAUGGUAAGAAAAUUGAUAACCGGAGGGUGCUUGUUGAUGUUGAACGUGGAAGGACUGUUCCGAAUUGGCGACCCCGUAGGCUGGGUGGUGGCCUUGGAACAACUAGAGUUGGAGGUGAAGAGCUCAAUCAGAGGUACUCUGGGAGGUAGGACCUAGUUACCAUUAUGCGAACACGCAUUAAUUUUUCAUCAAAUGGUAAAAUCUUUCAAGCUGCUGUCAUCUGGGCCACUUCAGAAAUGAAAAUUGAAAAUGCUUUUCAAUUCCCUGUACUGAGAUUUUAUCACAGAACUCAUUAAAAGAAUUGAGGCGGUAAUUUCCAGCUCUUCUAUUCAUUCUUGGGAGGGAACAAGUAAUUCUGUUCAUCUGGAUUCCAAUUUUCAGUUAUUUUAUUUGAAUGAUUUGGUGUUAGCUGUAGCUUGUCUAUACCUUUUUGUGGUUUGGGUAUAUUUCUUGUUGGAAUCUCCAAUGAAAGUGCAUUCUCAUGUUACCAAAUUGAUUUCCUUGCAAAAGGGUCUUGGGAGGAUAAACAAAUUUAGCCUCUUGGUGUAGUAUGUACCAGGUCUCUGAUAUUUAUGAACUGGGUGGGGAUCAUGAUAAAAAUAAACAUGGUCUUUUCUAGAAAAGCUGAAGGUGCAGUUGUAUUUGUAAUGGUAUUGCACUGUGUGUUUUCAUGCAUAUGAUUGCAUUAUCAUUUGAGAUAUGGUAUGUUAGUUAUAAUCAUUUGAAAUAUAUCUUGAUUCAGUUUAGAGAGUACUCCUCAUUUUAUGGAAUGUCAUAAAUGUUUACAUCACUUAAAUUGUUCAGGGAGCAAGUACAACCUGGAGGGGCAUCUCGUUCUGAGGAACCAAGAAUGCGGGAUGAUCGAGAUCGGUAAUACACCUUCUUGUAGUCCUCCAUUUCACAUUCUUAUGUCUUGAUUAUUGUUACUUUUUAAAAAUUCAAUAUGUUGCUGAACAGAAGAAAUAAGUUUAAAUAUGUUUGGUGGAUAUUCUAUCUUGAGUGAGAGAGAUGUUGAAGCAGUACAUCAUGAAUUAUUGAAGCAGUACAUUAUGAAUUAUCUUGACAUCUCGUCCUAAUCAUGCUCUGGAAGUUGUACAUGUUGCCUUUGUCUGCAACUCAUUUAUAUGAUGACUGUUUUAGGGAGAGGGAGAAGUCCCGUGAAAGGGUCAGGGAUAGGGAAAGAGAACGAGAAAAGUCUCAGGAGCGCUCUCAAGACAGAACAAGAGAUCGUGAGCACCGAGAGGAUAGGCACCAUAGAGAUCGUGAAAGAAACAGAGAUAGGGACAAGGAGAGAGACCGUGGUCGUGACCGUGACCGUGACCGUGAUCGAACACGUGAUCGCGAUCGUGGUCGGGACCGUGGUCGUGAUUAUGAACGUGAUAGAGACAGAUCUCGUGAUCGAGAACGUGAUCGCAAUCGUGAGAGGGAGAGGGAUAGAGACCGGGAUUAUGAAGUUGGUGAUGCUGACAAUGAUCGUGGUGGUUCUCAUGAUAGAGAGUAUGACUAUGACAAAGUUGAAGCUAAGCAUGACCGAGAGCGGCAUGGCGAAAGAGAGAGAAACUAUGAUCAUGCGGAGCAGGAGGAUGAUCGUGGAUGGUAUGAACAAUCAGAUCGUGGGCGUAAGCGUCCAGAAGGGGAGCAUGACCAUGGACACUAUGACUAUUAUGAUCACUAUCAAGGUCAGGGACAGUAUGAUAAUCAAGGUGCCCAGGGUGAUGAUGACCGUUAUCAAGAUUCUGAUCGAUAUCAUGACAGAUAUGAUCAGAUGGAUGAGGACAACUAUGGUUAUGAGCGAACAACAUCUGAGCCACAAGAGAAAGACCGAGAUUAUCAGCGUUCUGAUAGGUCGCUCUCUCACUCGCUCUCUCACGAUUACUAGUACUAAUUACCAAUGCAAUGGUACUUGCGAGUUUCUUGUGCUUCGCUGGUAAGGUUAAUGGGGUCAUAGUGUGCUUGUUGCUCUACAGUAAAAUUCUGAUGCUUUAAUUUGCUUGUUUCUGCAGCUAUUUUCCCCUGAAUAUUGAAUCUUUUGGUUGAUAAUCGGUUGGCUCAACACAAUCAUAAGGGUCAUAGUGUUUUUGUGUUUGUGUUUUGUGUGUUUUUUCUGUUUAUUGGAAGGAAAUUGUGCAUGUCAAGAACUUUUGUGUACACUCUAGCACUUGACUAUUUGCCUGGAUUCAGUCAUUAUAUGAGAUCUGCUAGUCUUGAAAUUGCUAUUGAUAAUUUGUGGAUGACGAUAAUUGAAGCUGCACUGAUGGUAUCCAUGUUAAGAGUGUUUUUAAUGCUUAGUUAGGAUACUCUUGGUGUUUUUUUUCUCUCAUUUUCUUGAGAACACUCAAGAAUUCGGCAAAUAAAUCUAGAUCCCCGAGCAACCUUCAAAAGCCGGCAACUCUUGAAGGCGCUCAGGGGACUUAUCUACCCAUUCCCAAACCCCCCAAUACCGAUGUGGGAACGAAACCCCAACAGGGGCAAGCCCAGCAGGGCGGCUUUUACUAAGAGCUAACUAAGCCCAGCAGGAAACUCUGGUGUUAAAUUUGAGAACUGUUAGAAAGCCAGACAACGGGUGGGGUAGAGACAGUGGAGAAAAGCACCACUGCCUACUAAUUUCCCAGCCCCUGCCUCGUUCCCCUUCCCUGCUGGAUUAAUAAAAAUUUAUUAUAUAAUUUUAUUAUAGUUAAUUUUUAAUAAAUAAUUAAGCAUUAAAAUAUUAAUAUAUAUUAUUCAUUGUAAUUUCAUAAUUGAAACUCAUAAAAUAAUCAAAUAAAAAUUAAUAUAAUUAAAAUAGUUAAAUUUUCACUUUUGAUACAAAUAUGAUCAAUAACUCAAUGUUGCAUUUGUGCUUUUUUUUUUUGGAGAAAAAAGUAUUAUUGUAUUAAAUGUAAUUAAAAAUUUAGUAUAAUCCCUUCAUUUCAUUUAUUUAAUUAUGUUUAAAAAAUUUAACUUUUUAAAAAUAGUAGUUUAAUUGUGAUAUUUUUACUUCUCUUUUUAAUAUUAUUCCUACAAGUUUAAAAUUUAAAUUUGAAUGAUAAUAUUUAAAUGAUUUAAAAAAAGAACUAUAUUGAAAAAAAGGCUAAAAAAUGUUUUGAUUUUUUUAACAUGAUAAUUAUUUUGGGACAUUUCAAAAUAAAAAAUAUGAUACUUUCAAUAGGACGAAGGGAAUAGUAAAUAUAGUAUAACUAACUAAUAAAUUUUAUUAAUUAAUAUAUAUAAUUAUUAAUAUAAUUGAUAAUAUCAAUUAUAUUACAUAUAUUAAUAUAUAUUAUAUAAUACAUAUAGCUAAUAUAUUAUUAUCAUAAAUUUGUAACUAAUUAAAUUAAAUAUUAUAAGUAUAAUUAUAUACAUAUAUAUAUAUAUAUAUUUUUUAACAAUCUAAACAGUGGGAAAAAAUUUCCCGUCCCAUUAGCCCCUUGCGAGUGCCAAUUGCCAUCCUCACUUUGGCCACCUGCCAUAAAAAUGGGCAACACUGCCAACGAAAUCCCCACUCCAGAAAAAAAAUGUUUGAGACGAUUUGGCACCCGAAUCGAUAAAAAGAUAGCAUAUUUGUUACUCUUAAGCACAUCCCUCUGCAGAAGGAAUGCUUUAGGUUGUUCGGUAUGUAUAGUGUUGCAAGAAAUACUCUUGGUCCUGAAAAGUAUCGCUAGUAAAGGCCUUGCACGUCCAGCCACACGAAAGCUUUGCAUUCGGUCAUGUAUUUUUAUGAGGACGAAUUGAAAAAACUUGAGGUCAACAUGAAAUGGUCCAGAUGUAAACUGGAGUAGAACGAACGGAUCAAACUUGAGGUCAGCCUGUUAUGAUUCAGAUGUAAGCUGGAGUAAUUUUCAUGUUUCUCGUUCGCGGUGAUUAUCUCUGCUACUUUAAUAAUCAGUCUCACUCCUUGCUUAUAUCUCUAGUUAAUAAAUGCUUGUAUGUAUCUAAAUAAAGUACAUUCCUAUUCAACGGUGAUUAUCUCGAACUUGAGGAACAACGUAUUAUCUCUGCUACUUUAAUAAUUAGUCUCACUCCUUGCUUAUAUCUCUAGUUAAUAAAUACUUGUAUGUAUCUAAAUAAAGUACAUUCUUAUUCAAAACGUUCCUCACAUUUUAUAAAAUAAUUUUUUUCGUUCCUCACUUUUUAAAAUAUAAUUUUAUGCUCUUUACAAAUUCACAAUGGUUAAAUUUGAUUCCUACCUAGGUUUUAAACUAGUUUUUUGUCGGAAUCCAUCAUGUACCUUGCACAUGAUUAUUUUUUAGAGACAAAAUUGUCAAACCACAAUUUAUAUAAUCCGAUUCAUAUCCCUCGCAUUUCAUAAAAUGAAUUUUUUUGUCCCUCACAUUUUACAAAUGAAUUUUUUUCAUCUCUCAUUGAUCAUGUAGACGAAUAAUUUUUUUUAAAAUCCACAUAUAUUUUUAUUUGAUUUCACUUGAAUAGUACAAAUAACAUAUAAUAUGUUUCUAUUUGAUUUCACCUAAACAAGUUAAUUAUAAUUGUACACAUGCUAUUCAAUAGAAAUAUACAUGGAUUUAAAAUUAAUAAUUCGAUUUUAAACCCAUGUAUAUAUCUAUUUGAUUUUACAUAUGAACUUAUUUGUGACCUUUUCUCUGUUAAUAAUAAUUCAUUUAUUAAGUUGUAUAAUAAAAUCAUAUAAUUAACGGAUUCUAAUUCAAAUUCUAUAGUCAUGCUAACAAAUUGCUAUUUAAAUCUAAAAUUUCUACUCGCCACUUUUAACACCAACAGUUGAAUUACUUAUUUUAUGAUUGCCUUAAAUUUUGAAAGUGCCAAUUAUUUACUUUUUUUUGUCAUACUUUUCCUUUGUUUAUCUUUUCUAUCCAAAUUUAAUUUGAUAUAAAUAUUCGACAAUGUUUAGAAUGAAAUCUCUUCUUUAUUUUCAACUUUUGAAUAAAAGAAAAUGAACAUGAAUGAAAAACUAAUAUUUUUUUUUUGAAUUCAUGUAUACAUCUAUUUAAUUUCAUCUAAAUAGGCUAAUUGUAGUUGUACACAUGCUAUUCAUAUUGUUCAGGUAAAAUCAAAUAUAUAUAUAUAUAUAUAUAUAUAUGAGUUUAAAAACAAAACUAUUCAUACACAUGAUCAAUAAAGGAUAAAAAAAAUCAUUUUGUAAAUGUGAGGGAUGGAAAAAUUCAUUUUGUAUUCAUACAUAUGAUCAAUAAAGGAUGAAAAAAAAAUCAUUUUGUAAAAUGUGAGGGACAAAAAAAUUUAUUUUGUAAAAUAUGCGAAACUAUAAAUCGAAUUGUGUAAAAUUUGAUUUGACAAUUUUGCCCUUAAAAAUGAUCAUGUGCAAGGCACAUGGUGAAUUCUGACAAAAAACUAAUUGGAAACCUAAAUAGGGAUACAAUUUGACAAAUGCAAAUUUAUAAGGGAUGUAAAAUUAAACUUUUAAAAGUGAGGAAUGAAAAAGUCAUAUUGUAAGAUGUGAAGGACGUUUUGAAUGAUCUUUCCUUAGAAAAAUAUUCAUAUUUUGUCCAUUUCAAAAUUGUUUUGAAUUCAUACCUUUUAAUUAGUGGUGUAUAACAUGUGUGUAAUAAACCUUUGAUAUAUUAUACUUUAAAAAUUAUAUUUCAAUUUUUUUAAAAAAAUUAAAUUUUGAAUAUGGAUAACAAAUUAUCUUUCUAACUAUAUGCAAAAUGAUGGUGACAUUGACAUUUAACAUAAUUAUGUAGAUUUAUACGUACAAAAGUAAUGAGAUAUAAAUUUUAAUAAAUUCAAUGUCUCACACGUGAGGGAAAAAGUUAAAAUUGAUAUAAAUAUAGUAAUCUUAACCUAUUUUCAAUAUUCAUAUUAUUCAUGAACGACUUUAUGUGUAAUUUUACCAAAUUCAUAUUUUUGCACCAAUCUUUUAAUCGUACUUUUGUAAAAUAAUUUUGGAUAAUGCGUGUGUAUAAUAUCUCAUAACCAUCACGUAUUUUAUUAACUAUGCUUAUAUGUUAUAAUGUCUAUAAGUACUUUGGUAAAAUAAAAAUAAAAAAAACUCUACUAAUCGUCUUUUAAUAAGCCAUCGCAAUCCGAAAUAGCCCUCCCUAGCAGAUGCUCUUAUCAUGCAUAACUCGAGGAUCACGUCUUCCCUAGUUUGUUGGCCUGUAAAUCCCAAAAACUUCUGUCGGCCGGAUCCAUUAUUGUGAAGGGACAGACAUGCUCGUGAAGACAAAGUGAAAGAGGAUCUUUUUUUUUUUUUGAAUCCAAGUGAAAUAGGAUCCAGUUGUUUGUAAAAGUCAGGGAACAAUUCACGUGAAGUUGCCCAUGGUUAAGCUUUUUAACUUUGUCACCAACGAAAAGUGAGAUCUUUCAUUCUUCCUGCUCAUGAGAUGAUGCGGCUACAAUACAGACACAUAUCCGGAUAGCAUUGUAGCGAUUGCAUCCUGCCCCUAAAGCGGCCUAAUUCCCAAACUCGCAGGGAGAAGUUUCGUGGAAGCCACGUCAUUUUGUUUGUUUUUGCCGUAGUAACGUGAAAUGCAUGCUCACGUAAAUCACUUGGGAUCCUCGAUGACAUUUUUUCUAUGCCAAUCCAAUGCCACCUAUAAUAUUGUGCCAAAUGUCCUGCUAUUAUUUACAUUUGUGUUAAACCAAAUCAAGUUGAAUUAUUAGACAAUUAAAAUGUAAAUAAUAACAAGAUAUUUGGUACAAUAUUAUAGAUGACAUUGGAUUGGUAUAGAAAAACAUGUCAUCGAGAAUCUCAAGUGGCAACGAUAAUAACACCACCGUUAAAUUAGUAGCUAAGCGAGCCUGUUUGAAUUGCUAUUUUUUAAAAUUUUUUGUAAAAAAAAAUAUUUUGAAUUAAAAAAUGUAUUCACGAAAAUGAAAAAUUUUGUUGAGAGAGAGUGACAAUUCAAACAGGGUCUUUUGCUGCCUUAGCCCCAUUUCGUGAGGUUGAGAUCGCACAGUUGCUAAAAAAACUUGAAAUAAACGGGCAGGCAAAAAUGCACUAUUAUUUGUAAUGAAACAAAAGAGACACAAGCUGUGUUGACGGGGGGAUCAUUCAGUACAUUGUCGUACGUCGUAUAAUAUAUACAGCCCCGUGUACUAAGAAUUCUAAGAACUUUAGCAUGCAUGUAUAUCAACUAGAGGUGUCAAAAUGGGUGAUUUGGACGAGUUUUGGUUAGGUAAAAUGGGUAAUGGGUACAAGUGAGUCAACCUAUUUAUAUCCAUUUAAUUAGAUGGAUAUAAAUGGGUAAGUAAAAAAAUGAAUUGGAUAACUCAAUUAUCCAUUUAUAACCCAUUUAUUUUUAACUUUUUUUGUAAAUUCAUUUAUAUUCAUUUUUACAAACUAAGUUAUCAAUUUAUACCAUCCUUUGCACUCAUCAUUAGUUUUAAAUAUUUAUUUAUAAUACUCAAUAAAUCUAAUUAUCAAUUUUUUUCUCAUCUGUACUCUAUGCCGCAAAAUUACAUACUAUUUAAUAAUUAAACAAUUGGAAUAUCAAAAUUUGAAAUAAGUACUAUAAAAGUUAACAUAAAAACUUAAUCCAAAAAUUUUGAACAUCUAGCAUUUUUUCAUGUGUAACUUUAAAAUUUCAUUUUGAAAAAGUAAGAAAAGAGAUUAAAACUUGUCAUAAAUUGGUAAUGUUGAAAAAUGAGCAAGUUAACAAACUAAAAGAAAAUAAAAUGAUAAGAUAAAACCAACAAACAAUAAUAAUAAUGAAACAAAAGUAGUUAACAUCAUGACAAAGUGAAAAAUUUGAAAAAAAAAAUGGGUGGAGGAAGAAAGGAAAUUUGGGGAAAGACAAUUCUAAAUGGAUUAAUUGGAUUUGAUGAGUUAUUUAAUAAUAUCCAUUUAUACCCAUAUAUAAAAAUUUAAGAUACCCAUAUCCAUCUAUUCAUAGACGGAUAUGGAUGGACAAACUUAGUUAAAUCAGUUUGUUUGACAGCAAUAAUAUCAACCAUCAAAGGAAGGAAAUUAAAGAGAAUAGUCAAGAAAACAACUAAAAUAAAAUGAUCCCUUUCAAGUACUCUCGACGCUCCGGCUGACUGAUCCUUUUCCUUCCAAGAAUUAGCCCGGUGAGCAACAGCCACAAGCUCUGCACAAUCCCCUAAAACGGGCCUAAAAAUUUGUAAUUAUUUACGUAUUUAUUUUCACCAUGACUUGCACCACUAAAUAUUAGCAUCCUCCAAAAACCUAAAUGCCACUAGUACUUAAAUAACUUAUCCUCAACUACUGAAAUCCCGACAGUAUUCAAAAAUCUUUCCACCUCAUGGUUCAACCACCGAACUUUGGCUCAAUAGCCACCAAAAAGGGAUUUAAGUCUCUCUUUGAACUAUAGGUCGGGAAUUUAAAUUCUGUUUGUAAUAAAAAAAUUUCAAAAAUAAUGUCAGAACACCCCUUCAAUUUAGUCAGGUCUGUAUAUCUUUUAGUUUAGUCUAAAUUAAAUUAUACAAAUAUUAUCGUUACAGAUUAAAAAAAAAAAAUACCACCUCAUGGUUCAAAAUUUGAAAUGUUACUAUUGGCCCUUUGCUUCAGCAGGCCAGUUCCAUCACGCACUAAUACUAAUAACAAGGAAAAUGAUAUACUAGUGGAUUAUUAUGUAUCAUCGGUUUUCUGAACUACCUGGGUAUUGCUUCCUAAGUUGCAAUGGUAAUUUGGCAUAGUGUUUAUUAGCCUGUGUUGCAGUUGCAGAAGUACAACAACAAUUCCUAUAAUAGAAACUCCUCCUAUCAAUUAAUAGUACUAGUGUCCAUCAACUUUUAUGUUCCGGUAUCAUUGUUGAACUUAUGUUCCAAUCUACAUAUGGCAGUGCGAAGGAUGGGCACAGAGACAUUACUUGAAGACACACCAAGCAUCAUUAAUUUCAUUGAGAUACUGAUUGAUGGUCCUCAUCAGUCCCAGCAUACUCAUAUUUGAGAAUAUAAUAUGUAUAUGUACCUGAUGCUUCGCAACACUCUUGAAGAAUUUCGAGGAAGUUUCUUCUUGACGUUAUAGGGCGGAUCGUUUGCAGAAAGUAACUACUCUACCAUCUUAAUUGAUUUUGUUUUCUAUCUGAUUAUCAAUGUAGUGUCGACAAUAAAUUGCAAGGAGACGCAGCCACAGUACCCCAAAAAAUAUGCUCCGUACAUCUCCUAGUUUAACCCCCUUUUUAUUUGUCGUUUGGUAAGAGAGCAAAAAUCUCAGGAAUGUAUGCUCAAAAGGAAAGGUAAAACAUGUGGUUAAUAUGCAUUCGGAUUUCUGUACUUUAUCGUGUAAAUUACUAACGAGUAGAGUAAUAUGUUGUCUCAAAACAAUACUAAUAUUUUGAAGAAAUUAGUAGUUCGAUCGUAAUAUUAUACAAUAAUCAUAAUCUUGAAAGUAUGCCGAAUGUCAGACUUUGAUCAGAUGAUAUUGAUCUUAACUAUUAUUUGCUUAAAGUGGCACCAGAAUGAACAUGAAUCAUCCUUUCUACAAGGGCCUGCAGUGCAGGGUGAGAUGAGGAGAUGAUGAUUAUUUAGAUUUUUACUGUACUGGAAAGCAUGUUUUGUGGAGUGUUUCUAUGCUUGUGUAAUAGCCAAAAAGAAUGUAGGCUCCAAAGUAGAAUUUCCAAUUCCAAGUUUAACGGUUAGAAUUUCUGAGAAGGAACUUGGUCUGCUUUAGUCGUUUGAGGCACCAUGCUUUCAACUGUCCAUGCUAUCUCACAUGAUCAAAGGCUCUUCCCGUUAGUGCACACCGUAACUCGUACAGCAGUAAUAUUUGCUUUUACCCACAUUCUAAAAGAUGCAUGGCAAGCAGCUUUUCAUUCUGCAGUGAUCUGAAUAGACCAAUAAGUACCCUUAGGUUAAGAAGUACGCCAAAAAGACAAAAAGAAAACAAAAAAAUAUUUGCCCGGAGCUUGAUAAUUCAUACGGGAGAUUUAUAAAUAUUGUAGACGACGAAACAGGACUUGCCAUUUUCUAUCGUCUUCAUAUCCUCUUCAUCCUCAAGAUUUUACUCCUCUUUUCAUCUGCAUGCAGAGUAGAGCUAGCGUACACAAGAACCCUAACACAGGAAAGUAAAGCUAAGAAUAGCAUCAUGGCCGAGGGAGUUUUUGGGAUUAACCAGAGAGCCAAGGCGAUUGCAUUGACAGCAGCAUGGUUUUUCUGCUGGAUUUUGUUUACAGCCAGUGACAUCGGCAGUGCUGAAAGGCUCCUGAAAACCGUCGAGCCAGGACACAUUGUGGAGAAGGAAAUGAGGCAAGGAUUCAUAGUUCGAUUGGUGCAUUUCCUCUGGCAAAGUGGAAAAUCUUCUUAUCAACAUGUUUGGCCCGUAAGUUCAAAAAUUGUCUAACUAAGCCCAUGUUCCUUAUUUUCGCAACCAUUUUUCUGUACUUAACUACACUUUGCUUUGCUAAAGGAUAGUGUUUUUGUUUUUGUUUUUGUUUUUUUUUUGUCUUGUGAAUUCCUAUUUCUAUAUUAGGCGUAUCACUUUAUGUUCAUGCAAAUUACCUCUGAUCAUGCAUGUAACAUCAACUGGUCCAAUUCAGCUGUCAACGGGAAUGUCCUAGAGGAGUAUCAACUUUUGUCCUCUGUAGUUUGCAACUCUUAUUUGCUUCAUGGAGUAAAUUUUAUCCUCUUUAACUAUUGUGGAAGUGUUUUUUGAUUCGUUCCAUUUUUUUUUUUCAUUUGAACAGGAGAUGGAAUUUGGCUGGAAACUGGUGGUGGGAACUGUGGUUGGGUUCCUUGGAGCAGCACUGGGAAGUGUUGGAGGCGUUGGAGGCGGUGGAAUUUUCGUUCCAAUGCUCUCUUUGAUCAUUGGGUUUGAUCCCAAGUCAUCAACUGCCAUUUCUAAAUGUCAGUUUCUGAUCUUUAAUUUGGUUAAUUUCGUAAUUUCCAUGAAAGGUGCACUUAAAAGAAAACGAACGGGAGUAAAGGACUAGAUACAAACACUCAAAUAACAUCCCCGGACCAUGCAAUCAAAUGUAGAACGUGUUAAAAUAAUCAAGAGCCAUAUAGUUCUGCCAUUCUUUUCCUGGCAUUUAGUCCAAUUCUCAGCAAAUAUUUACAAGCAGCAUCAGUCUCAAUUCUCCUUGUAUGAGUCGAUCCUCUGUUUGUUUCCAUCAUAGGUAUGAUAAUGGGUGCAGCUGGUUCAACAGUAUAUUACAAUCUGAGGCUGAGGCACCCAACACUAGACUUGCCUCUGAUAGACUAUGAUCUGGCUCUGCUCUUUCAACCUAUGCUCAUGCUUGGCAUCAGCAUUGGGGUGGCUUUCAACGUCAUCUUUGCCGAUUGGAUGGUUACAGUGCUGCUCAUUCUCCUGUUCAUAGGUAAUAUAUCACCUUUGCUUUAUGCCAAUCCUUUUGAUUCUGUCCACUACAUGCAAAUGAAUUUGACUCAACGUAUGAGGAGGUUUCAUGCUUGAGAAACUUUUACCUCCAUCGUCUUCCUAAAACUCCAAUGGACGUAUUGUUUUUACAUUGAUUGAUCAGAAUUUAGACAGAAAUGGUGCUCCAUCACUAUCAAAUUCUUUUAUUGUUAGGACCAUAUGCAAUAGGGCAUGGAUCCUUUAUAUGUGUCUGAGAAUUUGCUGAGUAUCAAUAAGGCAGCUAGUAAUCUAACACGAUAAAUUUAACUGUGAUAGGAACAUCUUCUAAAGCAUUUUUUAAAGGACUAGAGACAUGGAACAAGGAAACUAAGAUGAAAUUGGUAAGGGUACUCCACUGCUGUUUGGCUCGAAUUGGACCUGGGUGUUAGUCACUGCAUUCACUGAAGCUUGAAAUUCUGCUUUAAUUUCAGGAAGCAGCUGAAGUGGCGCAAUCAGAUUCUAAAUUCAAUGGUGAGUGCAUUAGUAAUAACCGUCUUUUAAUUAAUAAAGUUUGUAUAAAUCCACCUAGCAACUGUACUGCAAAGCUAUUCAAGCAAAUGAGCAAAAGAAUUAACAUAAGUUCAUCAAAUACUAAUCCAUAUACAUUUGGUUGACUUGAUAAAAAUGAAUACAACUGAUGCUGUAUACUAUUUUAUAAUUUCACUCAUUACAAUGCAGAGGGUCCUGGAAACGAAUAUAAGCCUCUACCAGGUGGUCCAGCUGCUCAUGCAGAUGAGAAAGUAAGUUAUAGGUCCACAACUGUCAUUUGUUUUUUUUUUCCUUCCCUUUGUGUGUGUCCUGUAAUAGACCUCUAAAACUCUUUGCAAUAGUUACCCUUCAACCUGUUUCAAAGUUCACUAGUAACUAAUUAUUUACAUUCAGGUUCCCCUGCUGUACAACAUCUACUGGAAAGAGUUAUGUCUGUUAUUGUUUGUGUGGAUAGCUUUCCUGGCUAUUCAGAUUAUGAAGGUACUCUUUUGACAAUACCAUAACAUUUGAAAACAGCAAAAAUAGUUUCUUAAGAAACUUUCCAUGAUCAUAGAUCUCAUCCUGCUUCAAAAGAGUAUAUUUCCUCCUCGGAUCUUCUGGAAACCUUGUGCAUUGGCAGUAUGAUGGAUUAACCAUUUGAUGCUAGCAAUAAUACUCGGUAUUUUUUAUGAUCCAUUUUGCAAUAACACAAAUCUCAUACUGUACGAGUCUCCUUGCAGACAUACACACAGACAUGCUCUGCCAAAUAUUGGACACUGAACUUCCUGCAGGUAAAAUUUUUAUCUAAUGAGAUUUUCAACAGUAAAAAGUUGAUCAAGUGCUGUGAGCCAAUUCUCAAAAUAAUGCUGCAAAAUAAUUUUUACAUUUGUCAAGGUACCAAUUGCAGCUUCAGUUUCCUUAUAUGAAGCAACUUGUUUAUACAAAGGGACGAGGACAAUCGCAUCCAAGGGGAAGGAAAUCACAGUUUGGAAACCAAACUUGAUUUUUCUCUAUUGUUGCUUGGGCAUAGUGGCUGGCGUUGUUGGAGGAUUGCUUGGGUUAGGCGGUGGCUUCGUCUUGGGACCCCUGUUUCUAGAAUUGGGAGUUCCUCCUCAGGUACAUUUUAUUUUUUGUUCGGUACUGCAGGUACAUCUUUGUUUGUAAAGAAUUCUCCUUUCCAUUUCAAUCCCAGUAGUCAAUACUCCUAAACAAAAAUUCCUGGAAAAUUAAGUUUCAAUUCCCAAGCAGAAUUAAAACUGUUUUCCUUGUCUAUCAAAAAACUGUUUGUUUUUCCUUACAAAGGUGGUCAGGUCAAUAAACCCGUAAUCGUUUCGAGACGUUUACAUCUCUUGUCAGGUGGCAAGUGCAACAUCGACUUUUGCAAUGACGUUCUCAUCUUCCAUGUCAGUAGUGCAGUACUACUUACUGAACCGAUUCCCAGUUCCUUAUGGUAAAGAAAUCGAUCUCCGGAUAUUCAAAACCCAAAAGAAAGAAAGAAAGAAAGAAACUCCUUUUCAUGUAUUCUCUGACUCCAUUGGUAUUUUGUUGCAGCUACAUAUUUUGUCUUAGUUGCCACAGUUGCUGCCCUCGUUGGUCAGCACGUAGUAAGGAGGAUAAUUGCAAUACUUGGCAGGGCAUCUCUAAUCAUAUUCAUACUGGCACUGACUAUUUUUGUCAGCGCAAUCAGCUUAGGUACAAAUCAUUUUCACACUUCUUUUACAUUCACAGAUUCUACAAAACAAAGACUGUCUAGUAAGUAGGAGUAUCAUUCUCUUGUCGUUUAAUAUUUGGUUUCAUGGUGUUGCAACUAAUGAAGCAAAAUGGUUCCUGAUAUUGUUGCAGGUGGGGUUGGCAUAGCAAGCAUGAUUGAGAAGCUGCAAAAUCACGAGUAUAUGGGGUUUGAUAAUUUGUGUCGCCAGUCCUAAUGUACUGUGUUAAUUAUACUCCAUGAAUCAAAAGGUUUCUCCGGGAAGGAUACUACAAUCUGGGCCAUUCUGUUUCAUAAAUAAAGCCCACUACUAAUGCAUUCCUGGGAGAAAAGUCACCGACAGACAUGUUAUGUUUUCAUUAAUCCAUCCACGUUUUCUUAAGAUUGUAGUAACAUAUUUUUGCAACAACUUUUAUCUUGGUUGUUUAUGGCAGUAAAUGAUUUGUGUUGAAAGUUGCGUGCUAAAGCAAACAUCGUUUGUGUGAAAUUUGGGUGAUUGGAUAUUGGAAUCAAGUUGAAACUGAGCCCAACGCUUCCACUUCCAAGCCAUCAGGGUCGUCAGGGGGAGAGGUUAAGUCGAUUUUUGUUUCUUGCAGGAGGGAGUACUCAACUUCGUCCCACUUUGGUGGUCAUGUUUUUCUUUUUUUCGUUCCUAAACUAUAGUUCAUUUUUCAAUUGAAAAAUAUAGUUAUCUUUUAAUUUUUCUAAAAUGCUCUCAUUCAAUAAUGUAGGUUGUUAUUACAAUAAACUAUCUUAUUUAAUAUAGAUUGUUAACCUAUCCCAUUUAAUACAUUUAGAUUUUUCAAAAUAUAUUGAUAUAUGAAAAGUCAACUUUGUUAUUCUUUCAAGCUUAUUAUUGGCGGAAAUUGAAAAUGAAAUGGAGUGCUAGGCUGAUGAAACCUUUUGAUUAAUAAGUGAAAUAUUAGGCGGCUAAACUUUUUUUUUUUAUUGAAAAUGUGAAAUAAAUGUAACAUGAGGAUUGAUUCUUUCUUGACCAUCAAUUCAAGUUUUCAUGAAUAAUUAAUACUCCAUAAAGUUGUACUCUAUUUAAUGUAAGGAUAUUUUAGAAAAAUAGCGAACUAAAUUUAUUCUUUUAAUAAAGUUAAUUAUUUUUUUUAUACUAUAUAAAAAAAAUUAGAACUAUCAAAAUUGAACGCUCUUUUGCGUGCUGGGUUUUGAAGCUGGGAACCUACACUUUGAACCGUGACCAGCAAAAGAGUCGGCAGUUGUAUUCCCGACAAAUAGCAACGCCAUAACUAAGACGUGCUUUUAAUUUUUCAAGAUUUACGCCUGGGCUUCAUGAGAGUUUUGAAGCGCAAUAUGAAAUGCAGGGGUUUGGCAUAUGAAAAAAAAUGCAGGGGUUAUUCAAUCUUUUUCUCGAGGCAUGAAUACUACUUUAGCCACUAAUUAUUCUACACAAUUCCAGAUAAACACUCCCAUGAACUUCAUGUGUAAAGUCGAAUGGAUCACCUUUUUAAGCACUUGCUAUGAACUACUGUAAUAGUCUUGAGGUUUGAAUCUCCAGAUCAUAAAUUUUCGCAAAAAAAUUCUCUUCACAUAGAUUGCAAUUAUCUUCUUAUCUCAAACACGUGAUCUCACUGUCGUUUUAUAAAAAUUCCAAAAAAAUUGCACUCCUUUUGUAUUGUUAUUUUCUGGUGUUUUUAUAAAAAAAAAAGUAUUGUAUUAAUCUGAUGCAUGUAAAAAAAAAAAGUGAUUGAAAAUAUAUAUUUAUGAAAAAUGUAAAUUUUUUUUUGAAAAAAAAUGCCAAGUUAGUAUUCAGAAAUAAGAGGAAGAUGAAGCAGUAUUGAAAGUGCAUACGUUCUUAUAUGACAAUCAAAAUUACUAACCCUUAGGCAACAAUUCAGAAGAUUUUCAUCUACAUUUGUAGCAGUAAGUUACGUAUUAUUGAGAAAUUUAUUCCUAUAUUGAUUUUUGUAUGAUGAUAGAUGAGUGUCCAAAACACAAAUUUAAAUAAGAACUCAAUACAAGCUUUCAGAAUUAGCACAUGAGUGCCAAUUUUUAAAAUUUAUUUUUUAAGAUCGAGAUGAAUAUGCUUAACAUUUACUCUUCGUUUGGAUUAGCUGUUAUUGAAAGUAUUUUUGAAAUAUUUUACUGUAAUAGUAUAUAUUAAAAAUUUUUACUAUAAAUGUUUUUUGAAAUAUUUAAUAUAUUAUAUAUAUGAAACAUGUUUUUGAAUUAUUUUUGUUUAUGUAUUACUAUAACAUUGUAUUUGAAAAAUAUGUUAAUCCAAACUGAAAUUUUUUGAAGUUAAACCUCAUUUUUUCAUAGGAAAAAAAUUCUGCUACUAUGAGUACAGGGAAAAAAAGGGGGGGGGGGGGUGUAUUUACUCUGUAAGAAAAAAAAUUUAUGAUGGCUUGCUCGAUAUAACGUUGGAAACCCGAGGGCGAACUCAAACCACUCCAUUUUCCCGCCCAAUGCCGCUCGCUCAGGAACGGGCAUUCACUUAAAAAGUCGCAUUCCACAAAUUGUAAUAUACGUAUUAUUUUUUAAAAAAAUUGCCCUGUUACGUGAAAAAAGACUUCUUCUCUAUAAAAUCAACUCCAUCCAUCAGUCUUAUUCUCUAUAAAGCUGAAAACUUUUCAUAUACUGAGACGCCACCCAUUCCCUCUGGUCUAGUCCUGAAUCUCUUCUUCCAGUUCCGGUUGUUUCUCCUUAUUUUUCCGAGACUCGAGUAAGGUUUUCCACUAAUAAUUCUUUUUUUUUUUCUGUAUCAUGCGUUAAUGAGUUUAUCGGACGUCUGAUUUUCGUUUGGAGCUGUAAAAUGAAAUUUUCCUUUUUUUUUUUUGGAGUUUUGGAAAAUGGGGGGAAAAGAGAGCUAGGGUUUUAGUAGAUUGAUGUUUUAAUUUUUGUUUUGAAUUUGAGUGUACCAGGGGUUGAUUGAAGCAGAGAUGGUGGCUGAGAACGGAGUGAAAGACGAGCCUCAGGCUGAUUCUCCUACCUCUGUUCUUGAAGAUGAGGUAUACAACCAUUUCUUCUGGUAGUUCUUUUUUUUUUACGGUGAUGAUUUUUCUUUUUUCUUUUGUAUUUCUCUUUCCGCUCAUGUCAUUUUAUUCAUCUGUGAAGAAAGGUUUUACCCAUCCUCUUUUCGAUUAGGCUUGGUUUAGAGCCUUUCAUUGCGUUUACCUGAGUCUCCAUGGUUUUUUCCUGUUUUUGAAGUUUUUUUUUUUUUUUUUUUUUUUAAAUCUGUCUCCGUUGAGAAGUAAAUGGUCAGGGUUCAUGUCUAAUAUGCUUGUGGUGAAAGGAAAGCCUGCAGGGGCUACAUUGAUCAUGUUAAGGUUUCAUUGUGAGCUCCACUGGUAAUUUUAGAAGUGUGAAGGAAAAGGGCUUUGACUGAGAGUGUGUCAUUUCUAUGCUUGGAAAGGAGGGGAUUGGGUGAUUUCAAGCUUAUAAUAGCAGAAAGUGAGUUCGGGAGCUUUAUUUUCUGUUUUUUUUUUUUUUUGGUUUCCCCCCUCUUUUGGGGAAUCUUCAAUUGCAGUCAGUCAAGACGGGUUUGGCAUCGUUUUUGCUUUAGCUGGAGAAAUACAUGAUAAGAGUGACUUUUGUUCUUGCACAUUUCAUUAUGGUGGCUUAUUGAAUUGGCUGGUCUAGGUGUUGUUUCCGUAAAGAGCUUGGCUAGCAGAAAAACAUUUGUUGUACUCUAAUGCAAUACUUGAGAUGCAGUUACAUUUAAUUUCAUGUUUCACAUGAUUUAUUUCUCGUUGAAAAAAUCAGAUUCUUGUUUCCUGUUCAAUCCAGGUGAUUUCAUGUAAUGUUUAUUUGUUUGUCUCCCUUGAAGGAUGCUUGCAAGGAGAAAAAUUGUGUCAAGAUGGAGGGAGAACUAUUGCUUGAUGCUAAGUAUGGAGAUUCUUCUCUCAUAACAGAAACUAUGGCUGCAGAGGAAGAGAAGCUUCUAGAACAGCGGGCAAAAGCAAAUUCAAAUGAACCUGAUGAGGUACCUGUAUUGAAUGACAUCCAGUUUACCAAACUGGAUGAGCUUCUGACUCAGACUCAACUUUAUACAGAGUUUUUGCUGGAAAACAUGGAUGACAUUUCAAAGGUAGGACCUGAAAAAUCUGUAGAUUCUAUGAUAUCAGUGUGUUUAGUUGUAGUUUCUGCUGAGUCAGUGGUGUUUGUAUUGUGUAAUCAGAAAGGAUUGGAGGGUGAUGAACAGACUACCAAAGAAAAGAAGAAAGGUCGUGGUUCAAAGAGAAAGGCAGCCUCAAAUUACAACAAUGUAUUUCCUUUUUUCCUUCCAUUUUUUAUUUUACAUUUGAUAUUCAUGCUUUCCCCUAUACUGGAGGUCUUCAUGGUGUCAUUUGUUAUAUCAAAGUAUAGGCAUUUAUGUUAUUUGUGGCUGCAAAUUGGGGAAAUUUUAACAUCUUUUACAACCUGAACACAAUGUUCACAUAAUCUAUUAUCCUGUUUUGAACCACAGUUUUUUUUUUUUUCAAAUUCUUCACGAUUAAAUGGAGUUGUGCUCAUCUCUACAUGUCUCAAAAUAAUUCUUGCAGCUUGAUCUUUCACCUACUAUGCAAGUACUAUUCAAAACAACUGCAGUAUGCUAUUUAAGGCAAGGAAAAGUGAGCUUUAGUUGGGAGGUACCCUAGGAAAUUAGGUUGACCUGUAGAAUACUAUAUAUCAGAUCAAUGACUAUCACAUGGUGCUUUCUUGGUUUUCUUUCUGAAUUUCCUCAAGUCUAGAAUCUGUUGAAUAUUAACUAGGUCAACUUUAGUGAGAAACAAACUGUGUAGAUCAUACUGUAAUCUAGGGGGUCUAUACUUGCUCUUUGGUGUAAUCCAAGUUUCCUGAUUGAUUUACUGCAGAGUAAGGCGAAAAGAGCUGUUGCAGCCAUGCUCACAAGAUCUAAAGAAGGUGUCUCUUUAGAGGAUUCAAACCUUACAGAGGAAGAGAGAAAUGAGAAAGAGCAGGCUGAACUGGUGCCGUUGUUGACCGGUGGAAAGCUGAAGCCUUAUCAGCUUAAAGGUGUUAAGUGGUUGAUUUCAUUGUGGCAAAAUGGGCUGAAUGGAAUACUUGCAGAUCAAAUGGGUCUUGGAAAGACUAUACAAACUAUUGCAUUUCUCGCGCACUUGAAAGGAAAUGGUUUGGAUGGACCAUAUCUAAUUAUUGCUCCUCUUUCCACUCUCUCAAACUGGCUGAAUGAGAUAAACCGGUAAAUUUAUUUGUUCUCUAUUUUCAAUUCUGUAAUCACUUUUUGAUUCUGUAGUUAAGCUGCACUUUUCUCCUUUGUUCAAUUGGAUACCUGCUUCAUGCUGAUUCGUUGUUUCACCCCAAAAUAUUCUGUAGGUUUGCACCCUCACUAAAUGCAAUCAUAUACCAUGGUUAUGGGAAAGAAAGGGAUGAAAUAAGGAGAAAAUACAUGCCAAAUACAAUAGGUCCUAAAUUCCCCAUUGUAGUUACCUCCUAUGAAGUUGCAAUGAAGGAUGCACGAAAGCACUUGAGACACUAUCACUGGAAAUAUAUGGUGGUUGAUGAGGUAUACAGACUUCUAUGGUUUUCAGAUAUUACCUUCUUCCCUGUCAUACUUUAUCUACUGCAUUUUCAUCAUUUGAGGUAAUUCUUCAUUUUGCUUUUAAGUUGAUUCAUUUCUUUACUAUUGUAGGGGCACAGGUUGAAGAACUCACAAUGCAAAUUAGUUAAAGAACUUAAGCUGUUGCGUGUUGAAAACAGGAUUUUAUUAACUGGGACACCUCUGCAGAACAACUUGACAGAACUCUGGUCGUUGUUGAAUUUUAUUCUGCCGGACAUAUUCAAUUCGGAUCAAGAAUUUGAAUCAUGGUAGUGAACUUUUGUUCUAAAUCAUAUCCCAGAAUCCUUGUCACUGAAAUAAUUUCUAUACAAGCACUAAAGCCUUUAUAGCUCUUGUGUUUAUUACAGCUCUCCUCUUGGGCAAGGAAGGUGCUUUUAUGUUUUCUUCAUUACAUGAUGAAGUGUGUCGUCUGUUCCCUGUAUUUAAAAAUUUUAAUCUCAUGGUAUUUUUGUCUAUGGAAUCACUGCAUUAACUUUCCCAGUACAAUGUAAUAUUUUAGUGCUUGAAGUUGUAAUUAGGUGCCUUUAUGUUUGAUUCUUUAUGGUCUUUUGUUUUAUGUAUUUAAAACCUUUAUCUCAUUGUGAUGUUCUCAAUGGAUUCACUGUCAAUCACAGGGUUUAACUUUCCUGGUAUAUUGUAAUGUUUUAGUGAUAGUUGCCUUUGUGGCUGAGAAUUCUGUAUUUUUAGUCUUGAUUAUAGAUAUUUAUGUUUAUUUGCAUUUUGGAUUGCCAAAUGUGAUUAAGAAAUGAUAAUUUCUAUUACGAAUUUUAACAAAUUAUUCACCAUACUUAUGCAAUUUCUAGUUUUAAACAAAAUAUAAUAAUAUUUUGUUUUCCUUCUUUUAGUAACAAUGAGCAGACUGUCAGAUGGGCCAUAAUGUUUGUACUGUUUGAGUAUCAAAGCUUUGCACUUAAAACAUUUUCUUUGUUUCUUUUGGAAGUUGAGUUUGGGGAGAAGGGCAUAUGUUUUGAGUACUUACCACCAUAGAUUACAGUCAUUUAUUGCAAGUAAUCAUGAUUUUUUUGGUCUCUCCUCAACUGAAGUCUUAUGUUGUCGCCUACAUCUCAGGUUUGAUCUUUCUGGAAAGGGCAGCAAUGAGGCUUUAAGGGAAGAAUUGGAAGAGAAGAGAAGAACUCAGGUAAAUAGUUGCUUUCUAACGGAGCUCCUCCUAGGAAGAUUUUAUGAAUUUUAGUGUUUGUAACUGGUUUUUACAAAACCUACAGGUGGUGGCAAAACUCCAUUCGAUCUUACGUCCCUUUCUGCUGCGGAGGUUGAAAUCAGAUGUGGAACAAAUGCUCCCUCGGAAAAAAGAAAUAAUCUUAUAUGCUACCAUGACUGAUCAUCAAAAGAAUUUCACAGAUCAUCUAUUGAAUAAGACACUAGAGGAUCAUCUGCGGGAGAAGGCAGCCUCUGGUAGUUACGGAGUUUUACUUAUGGAAGAAAUAGGAUGUGUGUUCUGGAUUUCUGGAAUCUGGAUAUCAAUAAGAUGAAGUGUCUAAGCAUUUUUUGCAAUUUCUGUUAAAAAUGCAGGACGUGGCAUGAAAGGGAGACUUAAUAAUUUGAUGAUUCAGCUUCGGAAGAAUUGCAACCACCCUGACCUAUUGGAGUCUGCCUUUGAUGGUUCUUGUAUGUCCUUUACAACUAUGGAUGGGAUUUUCUCACAAUGAGCUUCUUGUUGAUUUUAAUUGUGUUUUCAUACUCUUUUGACAGAUUUCUUCCCACCUGUAGACCAGGUAGUUGAGCAGUGUGGAAAGUUUCGUUUGUUGGACAGAUUAGUGGGAAAGCUAUUUGCUCGUCAGCACAAAGUAUUUGUGUAGUUAAUUAGUUCAAUGUGUUGCUUUUAUGCUCUACUUUGUCCUUUAAUUUGUUGAUCUUGAACUUUUCCUUUUCAUAUUGUAACUGCAAUGCAGGUUCUGAUCUUUUCUCAAUGGACCAAGAUUUUGGACAUAAUUGAUUAUUAUUUUGCUGAAAAAGGUUUUGAAGUUUGCAGAAUUGAUGGCGGAGUGAAAUUGGAAGAAAGGAGAAGGCAGGUAAUGAACAUCUCUUAAAGUUGCACUGUAUCUUGGUGCAUUCUUUAUAUAUAAUUCAGUUUGGAUUUCUCGAAAAUUUUUGCAGCAAUUUCUCAUAAGCUUAGAUAAAAAUAUUGUAUUUGUUUUUAAUUUGCUUCUUGCUGUUUCUUGGAGUUAACAUAGCACCAUUUCAUUGGGCAUGAUGCUACUCUUUUUUGUGGUCUUUUCUGGACACAAGAGUUUCAGUUAUGGAAAUUUUUGCCAACCCCUCCAUUCAAUUGCAGAAAUCCUGGUUUCAAUUUGAACUUUAUAUUUGUGAGAUCUAAGUAAAUAGUAGAACACGUCUGCAAAACUUGUUAGUUUGAUCUAGAAACAGUGAUUUACUAAAACGGAAUUGAGUGAGUUCUUCUAUAGUCUGCAUUGCACUUAAAUGGUGCUAGUUAAAGGGAUAUGGAAUUGUUUUGACUGAUAAUAAUCUACUUGAACAAACAGAUACAGGAGUUCAAUGAUGUGAACAGUAAAUACAGAAUCUUUCUUCUUUCCACCCGAGCUGGUGGGCUGGGCAUCAAUCUUACUGCUGCUGAUACCUGCAUUUUAUAUGACAGUGAUUGGGUAUCUUCUUAAUCUUAUCCUUAUGGUUCUCUUCAUUGUCAUCUCAUUAGAAUGCGGACAUGGAUUUUUUAAAACUUUUUCUACUUGAACACUUUUAUGGUUCAAUGUAUCUGACUAAUUUUGCUUGUGUAACAGAAUCCUCAAAUGGAUUUACAGGCAAUGGAUCGAUGUCACAGAAUUGGUCAAACAAAACCUGUUCAUGUUUACAGGCUAGCGACUGCCCAAUCGGUGGAGGUAUCUCUCUUCUCACUCAAUAUUUGGUUUUGGCUUUAUGCUGCUUUCUUCUGAUUAAAAACACUGUGAACUGUUAUCAGGGUCGUAUGCUGAAAAGAGCAUUCAGUAAAUUAAAGCUCGAACACGUGGUAAUUGGUAAGGGGCAGUUUAAGCAAGAAAGAACCAAGCCCAAUUCAAUGGAGGCAGUUGAGGUUGUACUUCUUCCUACAUGUUUUUUCCUUUAAUAAAUUUUUUUUGCAUAUGGUUGUUUCCUUGAAGGUUUAACUAAGUUAUGCCCUAAACUGGAAGAACUUGUUUUCUCCACUCUGAAAAAUGUGAGAUCAAGUUUGUCCUCAGCGAUACUUAAAUAGGCAUUUAUCUAGUUAAAACACUUUCAGAACAUCAGAUUUAUUUUCCUUUCAUAGUUAAGAUAAACUCCCAUAUUCAGGAAGAGGAUCUGCUGGCGCUUCUCCGAGAUGAAGGAACUGCCGAGGAGAAAUGGAUCCAGACGGAUAUUAGUGAAGAUGAUCUAGAAAGGGUUUUAGAUAGGAGUGAUCUUGUUGCUGUUUCUUCAGAGCAAGAUGGAAAGACUGGCUCAGAUUCAACUGUGCUUCCCCUUAAAGGGCCUGGCUGGGAGGUGGUGAUCCCGACUGCACCAGGCGGAGUGCUUUCCACCCUUAACAGCUGAUGAAGGUUUAUUUUGGUGCUUGUGUUAGUUGGGCUGUUCUUUGGAGUCGAGUGCUGGGAGGAGAGGUCUCUCUUUUUGGGGUUUUACAUAUUUUAGCUUUUCGUUGUCGGGGAUGAAUAUAUUUUGCUCUCAUUGAGCUAGAGAAUGCUAAGCAUCUAGUUUUCUCUCAUUUUUUGCAAAUAUCCCCAGAGAACAUUCUCUUAAAUGGUGGUUAGACUCCUACAGAUUACUGUAAAUGUGUCGUGAAGCAAGUUGCAGGGAACAGCAACUGAAAUCGCAUAGUCAAUUGUCUGCUGUAAAAACUGUGUUAAAUGCGCCAUUUGAUAUUGGUGUUUCUGGCGAUUGUCUUCCGCGAGACUUUUUUCUCUUCCGUUCAUUGGUUAAUAUCGACUUUGGUUUCGCAAUUAUUUUGUAAAUGUUCCCCAUCAAAAUAUCCUAGUCUGAUGAUUAAAAAAAAUAUAUGGAGUCCAGACUCUAGAUUGCCAAGAACAAUUACCAUUACCAUGUGAACAAAAAAUUCAAGUAGCGGAAGCUGAAAGUGAAACUAAGGCCGGCGAAGACGGGUUGCUUCCACGGUUGCCACGACUAAUAUCAAAUUGUCGACUUAGACGACACUCUAAACCAAAAAAGCAAACGAAUUUCCGUUGCCGGGAAUCGAACCCGGGUCUCCUGGGUGAAAGCCAGAUAUCCUAACCGCUGGACGACAACGGACGCUGCGUACAUAGGUCGCAUGAAUCGCUUGUCGUUUGUUGAAGUGAUGAUUCAUCAGUCACAUGCACGGCUGGGCCUAUCAAGUCUGAAGCCAUGCAGGAUUAGGGUGAAUAGUCGUUCGAACUGGUCGGAUGUUGAAGCUUAGUCGAACUGCUGUUUCUCCACCAUUCUUGCUUAUGAAUUUCUUCACGAACAACUCCAGCUUUAAUUUUAACAUCUUUGUAAAUGAAAGAGAACCAGCAGAGUGCUUUCGCAGUAGUUGUUGUUUCGAAUCUCAGCGCAUUUCACCGCUCCGUCAGAAAAUUUCAUUGUGACGUCGUUAUUAUUAUUAUUUUUCCCUUAUUUUAUACAUUGAAAUUGUUGAAUGCAUUAGAUAUCAAUUCCUAUCUUGAAAAAGAUGUCACAGCUGAUUCCAGUACUUGGUUCGAAGGAAAUAUGAUCUGUCAUAGUCGGGAUUCCCCAUUUUUCUUUUCACUUCUCCAUGGGCGCGUAGCUUAUAUUAGAACAAUUACGAGAAAUGAUUUUUUUGCAGUGUUUCUGAAACCAUCUUAAACCUGUUGUGUUUUCCCAUUCACAUACUUCAGCACCUGCAAGAGAGGAACACAUGCUUCUUGACUGACAAAUGCUAAUUUCCUCAAAUGCAUUAUUAAGCGCCAAGAAAGACAAGACUGGUUCGAACUUUAACCUGAUAAAAAUUACGCAGAUAACCAGCCAAAUUCAACUGCUGCACAGAAGUGACGACCACAGUUUACCGAUAACUAGUAACAAAGUUCAAAUAUUAGGAAAAAAUGGAUCUCUCCUAGGCUGUAGCAUCCAAGGGCUUCCUACCAUGCAAGUUGAGGCUUUACAGUGGUUCAUUCAAAUGCUCCUGAAAAGUACCAGUUCUAAGAUCUGUAAAUGGCCACUAAACUUGUGGAACUGCAAAUUUUCCAACUCUUGGUGAUAGAAUGGAUUGCACAUCCACUAUGGUCAAUAUCUUGGGAAUUGACAUGCCUCCAGAUAUGACUAUCUCUGCAAUACAUACACACUCAGGUUGUCAUGAAUUUGGGUUAACAGUCGAAGAAAGUGUAAACAGAUUUGCAGGAAGUAGUCUUCUCUUGGAUUCUUACCUAUCCCCUCUCGAACAGAGAGAUUCGGUCUCAUUAUAUCUUUCGAGUUGAUGAGGAAUAUAUCUCCUAGAUAAAGGUGGUUGGUGGGUAUAUAAACACAGCAAAGCUCCUCUGAACCUGAACUCUUGCGGAGGAUGACACUUGAUGUAAUGAAGCCAAGUGCAUACUCCCCGAUACGUGGGUGCCUGACGAUUGCUACUUCCUUGAAGGCAUGUGAAUUCUGAUCUGGAACAAUAACUUGUGUCAAAUCCUUGUGCUUCAUGUGACUACACUCCUUUUUGUAUGAAUUUGGUUUACCUGGUGAAAUGGCAGCACUGAUUUGCUUUGAAGCACUAUAAAUGUAGCUCAUGAUGGGCAUUUUCUUAAUAAACCAUUCUCCCAAUCCGAGAACAGAGGCACCCAACCAUGAUGACAUGAAGACUCCAACCAAAAAUAUGAAAGUUAUCGAGGUAACAAAUCCAAGACCUGUCAAAACAAAUCGCUAAAGUCAGCAAGUUUAAUUGAUGCAUUUUCUGCCGGCAGUAAUGCAUCCAAUAUCUUGUUCAACCAUCUCAACAGGGCAUAUAUAGCCUGUGAACGUUUUCUAGUCAAUUUGAUUAUCCCAAGGAAUUAUUUACUUCGAGCAACAAGAUUUGCGGCUAACAUACUUCAACAAACAAAUUCUAAGGAGCAUACUAAAUACUGCACCAUUCUACUGCAGACAUCAAGUUUGUUUGCAUACAUUGAAGGGUGCAUAUUUAGGGGACUCGUCGAAUUGGCCAACUAACUGUUAAAAACUGCAGAUGAAUAAAAUAACAUUCAUCAUUUAUGAGACAUGAAACUGAUACGUAGAUACAGCUGGUACACUAACCGAAUACGUUAAUCCCCAGAUGAGCAUAGAUGGGGGAGAAGAACCCGUCCACAAAAUGAAUGAACCACCAAGUGAUAUAGAAUGUGAUCGCUAUUGGAAACAAGAUGACACUGCAAAACAAUGUCAAAAUCAUGUACAUAUACCUGCAAUAACUGCUACUUUUGCUAGAUGAAUUCAAGAAAAUAGAGAAGCAUAUCUAUCCAAGAUGCAAUGUCUAUUAACCAUGCAGCAACUAGGGAACGCCUCAGUGCGAUACGUUUCCUUCUGAUGUGCUAUUCCUUAAGGCACCUAAAACUUCAUCGAAACACAGAGUCUGGCGGUAUCGAAUGCAAUGACCAAAUAAAUAAUUUUCAGUUCCGCUCAUUCUAAAGCAAGUCAUCACAACUGGUGACUGGAAUAAAAUUCAGCUGCAGCAGCACCACAUGCUGCCUUGUUCAAUCCUCUAAUUUCUGAGUUGCACCAAUUCGUAAUUGAACCAAAUUUUAGUGUAAAGGAAACACGAUAGAGCACAAGAGAACUAACCAUCCCGACAUAAACUUUUUAGAAGCCCAGCUACGAAUGACUUUGCUAAAUGCCUGUGACACCAGGAAAAUGAAAAUGAGGGGUAUCGUUAGACAUGAGCAGAUGAAUCAAACUUAGACAAGCUACCUGAGAAUCCAUUUGCACUUCCAAGUCCAUAUAAUGUGUGUGAGAGAACAAAAUUUACGUAAGAUGACAAAGCUCAAUACCUAAGAGACAAUUGUCACUACUGAUGCAAGUUUAGCUUUGGAGACUGCUGACCUCAGAUUCUUGAAUUAAUAAGCUCAAGAUUCUCUGAUAUAGAUUCUUGUUCCGUAGAAAAGCAUAGGAACAUAACGCCUUCAUUUUGUUUCAUUUGUUAUUUCGGGUUAAUACAAAUUAACAGGCCUCAUUCCAUACAAUCUAGUCCUGGUGACAGGAAUCAUCACUUAAUCGAGUUCUGUUGGGACCAAAAGGAAUGAGAAGAGGAGGAAAAAAAAAGAUUGCUCUAACUUGAAGAUCAAUAAUGGUAAAAGGAAUGGAAUAAAAGCCUUCCACAUGAAAUUAAAAUUAUCGUGUAAAGAGAGAGGGAAAUUGUUGGUUUAACUGAUUUCCUCUGAUUGUAAGUUUGUGCUUAGAACCCCAACUGGAACAAUAUAUAUAUAUAUUUUUUUUAAAUAAAGCUAAAACACUAUAGACGAUAUUCAAUUCUGUUCUUUUAUAACUCAACUCCCAAAAACAGACAGAAAAGAGGCAAUCAGGUGUUCUAUAUUCACAUUUUUUAUUUUAAAAAAAAAAUUCGCAGAUGCUUCGAUCAUUCUCUCUGUCCUCCUUAGAAAAAAAUAAAUAAAUAACAAUAAUAUGAAGACAUAAUAGCUAAGGCAAGUAACUAAGGAACUGUCUCAACAUUCCAGAAUUUUUAACUUCAAAAAAAAAUGCCAAUUUACUAUAAUCACACAGAGGUAACGCAAACGACGUGCAUGUGAAACAUGUCAAUAUACGGGAUAAGGGAAAUUAAUUUUUUCUUUAACCAAAAAAAAGAAAAAAAGAGAAAAAAGAGCAAGCUAUAGAAAGAAAAGAAAACCUCUUUGCCGGCAUGAUGAGAUAAAGAAGUGGAAGCGAGGGGAGAUUCGGAGGGGGAAGAGGAUUUGGAGGCAAGCCCAUUAACGUUGUCGGAGAUUCCUAAGCUUCCUAUGGGUAUCAAACGUUCCAGAUCUCUGUCCUUCUCUCUACUACUGCUGCCCAUUCGUGAUCUCUCUCUCUCUCUCUCGGUUUUUUUUUUUUUUUUUGGAAUUUUUAUUUUUAUUUUUUUGGGUGCUUUCUCUGAUUUCUUCCAGCGAGACUAGCCAAAGCUAAAUCAAAGUGUGUAACCAACCAACUCUCUCUAACUCCUCCUUCCCGGGGCUGGGGAUACAGAAAUCAUUAUUGGGACGUUAAAACUCACUAAUUAAAUUACAAAGUAUAAUUAUUCUUGUGCUCAAAAUUGAACGUAAAAACGUCGAAACAGAAACAGAAAACAUGCGGGAAUUUAGUUGCAAUAAUAUGUUACCCCAAAAUCGUUAUUCAACCAGCACGAAUUCCUUACUAUCAUUUAUCUCUCUCAAAAUUCUUAGAUGAUAGGAGUAUUUCAUUUCAUUACAGAUAAAAUUUACUAACAAAAUAGACCGCCUUGGUACUAUAGGCCAGUCACUAGGUGCAUGCAGCCAAGCUUUUGCUUAAUUGAAUUAAUUAGCCCCCUUAAUUUUCAAUUACUAUAUAUGAUUUAAUUGGAACUCGGUCUGCAUUCAAGCCGGUGAGGGAGAGCGCCUUUUUUUUUUUUUUUUCCCUUUUUAAUCCCCGAUGACGGCAUUCAGCCCCCAUUAAUGAUUAAUCCCUCUUUUUUGAAUUAAAAAAAAAAGAUAAAAAAUAAACGCCAAGGGGAAAAAAAAAAAGAUUAAGCACGCGAGUUACCCAGUAGAGGCGUAGAGCUGAGCUGUCCACCUUAGUAGGGAAACGAACUACAAAGCUCCUCAGAUUGUCUAAAUUCCCAGUAUUGUAUUGGAAAUUUGGAAAUCGAAUUCGACGGAGGCUUAGAUUAUACAGCGCCCGCCCGCCCGCAUAUCUGGAAUUUGUGGGAAGGUGAAGCAGCAAAGCGGUGGGAAGGUGACAAAGACAAUAAUUAUAUCUUGGGCUGGGUUGUUGGGUCGUUUCAAGAGAGAUGAUCACUCGGUCUAAACUGGUGGAGCAACUCCGUGAUUACCAGAUCCGAUCCCAGCAUAAAUGUCCCGCUCUCACCGUCUUCUCUCCCAAACCCCUUCUCACAACCUGGUACUUGUUGUGAUUAUUCUUCGCUUUCCUCGCUCUUCCCAAUUAUGUGCCCUGAAAUUUGGUUGGAUUGAUCUUUUCUUUAAUAUGUCGGACAUUGUUUAAGUGGAGUUUGUUCUUUUCUUGAUAUGAUUCCUGCUAAGGGCAUUUUAAUGAGUUGCCAAGAUCGAAUUUUUCCAUUAGGUUUUGUUUUUGCUGUUUUGCCGUCGGAAGGUGUAGUAAAGUUUAAUGGAGUUCAGUUUGUCAGCUUGGGAACACCCCCACUGUAGUAUGUACUUAGCGUAGCUUCUUUUUUCACAUUCUGCAGUCGUAGAAAACCUGUUUUCUAGGUUUGCCCUUUUGGAAUUUCGAUGUUAUGUUAAGUAGAAACAUAGAACUGUAGUUGGAUAUUGAGCCUGAAACUACUAGAUGAAUAAGCCUUCUUUUUUUAGAGAGAGAGAGAGAGAGAGAGAGAGAGCUUGUGUGCAUAUUAGCAUAUUCAAUAAACUAGUGUCUUAGCAGGAAGUUGGCUGUAGUGGAACAACAGCUGGAAACUAUAUCCGGCUUUAAUCAUCUGAACGUCGUGGAGCUAUUUCGUAAUCCAGUAUGUAGACUAAAACUGUCUUUCCGGGAUUAUUUGUAAAUGAUUAUCUUUUGUCAGUUCAAGCUGGGUAGAUUGGGUGGAAGAGUUAGAAAAGCAAACAUCAGGAACAGGGAAAUCCCUCGAGUGGAUAACUGAAUCAUUGCAAUAAUUCCUUUAAAACUUUCUUUAAUUCCUUGCUUGUGUGCCAGUUGCAGUGAAACUUUUAAUCCAGACAGAAUCGCGGAGGACAAAACGGUCGUUAAUGUAAAACUUGAUAUGGAUAAGAAAAUAUGUUCCUUCAAAUAGAAAGCAAGUUGGAAAUUUAGAGCAACUUUUUACAUUCCUGCAUGUUAGUAGGUAUAUGAUUGAUGGAUGAGCCUUGUUGAAGCUCCAGUAGUCCUUGUUCCAUGCUAAAGAAACAAGCCUAUCUGAAUAUCUCUCUCCCCUGUUAGGACUAUUAGUGGCUUUGAACUGGAAAGUUAUUCCCUUUCAGGGUACUGAAAUGGUAUUCACAUUUCAUCUUAUUCCAUUUGAGAAAAUUUUCCUCGAAAGAAUAGCCCAAGAUAUUCAAUGCUUUUUCAGCGGACAUUUUUCUCUUGAUUAUCAAUAAGUAUUAACUUGAUUCCUCUUCUAUAUGUUCUAUGGAUGCUUUCAGCUUUGUGGAACACCAUUUUGGCAAUUCAAAGGUCUCUGCUUAAGUUGAUAUAUAAUGAAUGUAUUACGUUAUGCUGCUAUUGAUAAUACUUUGUGUUUGACUGUGUUGUCUCAAGAUUCAUGCACCGUCUCAUUUCUCUUCAGAUAACAGACUGCUAGAACUAUGUGCAAAUUGUUCCAUCUCCAUGAACCCCAUCUUUUAGAGGCAUAGUUACUCGCAUUUAGCUGUGUUAUCUGCAGUACGAUACAUAAGUAACGCGGCUGUUUGUUGCAGGGAUGAUGUUAUGGUGGCCAUCUUGUGGGCAUCAUUGUUCAGUGCACUUGUCAUAUCAUCAUAUGUGACCCUAUAUUUCAGACACUACUGGGUUUCUUUUGUGAUCAUGUGCUUUGGUAUUUUUCUUCCAGUUCGCUUGAGAAUUUCACGGCAGGUCCUUGCAAGGAAAAAAGAAAGACUAUUACCACUGUCGUUUUGAUCACCGCUUUUGUUGCAGUAGCUGCAGAGCUGAGUUUGACUGACUGGUACAUUGACUGAACCGUGGUGCUGAUUUUGUUAAGAGCUCUGACUUAGUUCAGGUAUCUUUAUCACCUCUCGUGACUACGGUGGCGCAAUGAUUUCUCUCUGUCUCUCUCUCUCCAUCUUCUUCAAGAAGCCUUGAAAUUUUACCAAGCAAUUCAUUCCUCUACCUGUAAAACUUCUCAAAGGAGAGUACACAAAGGUCUUAUGACUCUCAGAAUUUCUUCCAGUUGAUUGCAAUGUUUAUUGAAAGGAAUAGAUUCAAAGUCAGAGAUAUGUGUUUAGAUGUUUUAUCAAAAGUUAGGACAAACAGGCGAAACAUAUAUAUAGUCUGUGAGAAGAGCCUCUUACAGAUAUCAAGAGUAGGUGCUAAGGUAAGAAAGGAACCCCUUCUAGCAUAUGUCCAUUAUCCGACACUGAGUUGGCAUGUAAAUAAAGGCAAUAGCUUUACUUGGUCUUUUACUUCCUUCUCUGCAUCCGUUCUUCCUUUCAUGUAAGUUUUACCAUCUGCUUCUACGAGGCCUUAAUUUUAUGGGGAAAGUACUGAAUAUAGAUAGCUUUAGUUGCUGCUAUUACUAGAGCAUGAGUUCUUCCCCCCCCCCCCCCCCCCGGGGGCGGUGCAGAGAGAAGAAUGUUUGAAUCCCUGAAUCAAAAGUUACAACGAAGAAUAGAAUAAUGAAGUGAUCAGGGGAACAGUAAAGUAUAGGGACCAGCUUCUUGCUCCUAUUGGUGGAAAACCAUGAAAGAGUCUUAAUGUAAAGUACCGCUAAGUUGGAGCAAAUCAUGUUCUGAUUAUCUUGUAUACCCUUUCAAGUGACUGUCACUUGAAAGUUUUCAAGAAUUUGCCUCAAAAUGAAAAGCUUUCUUUCCUUCUCUCGUUUACUAUUUCUUGUGUAUCCUUCCCGGUGGCUGGAAUUGCAUUUGGUGAUUGAUCUAUCCUACAGUGGAUUUGGAAUUGCAGCAACGCUCGGCAAUUUUGACUAGCAUCUCAAAGAAGAUCAUGCGCUAAUAUUGAGAGAAUGAUGUUGGUCGGUAACAUGGUGUGGGUUAACAUAAAAUUCAGAAAAAAAAAAAGAAAGAAAUAUAUAGCUCUAUGUAGACCACUAAUGUCCAUACAAAACUGGAUCAUCGUCAUCCACAACACUGAUGGCUGAUUGCUUUUCUGCGUCUGUUUCUCGAGCAAGUUCCCUGUCCAGCUCAGUCGAAGAUUUAAAGACUCCAUUAUUGCAUCUCACUUAUUCAAAGAUUUACGUCUCCAUUAACAACUCAACAUAAAGCAAAAUCAGGUGAGGACAUUGGCCAAUUAGCGAGUCUGAGUCUGUUUAAAGGUGAUGGAUAAGAUAAUACAUGACAGAAUCAGUUAAACUAGUGCCGAAGGCCGAAAUUAUCGGGCAAUCAUUAUCAAUACUAGUCCACUGAGCUGUAAACUAAUACAGAACUCCCAUAUUAUAGUAAUAGGCUUCCAAAAUCACGUAUAAUUAGGUCGAUGCCAUCAUUGAGGCAUUUGCUCCCACGACUGGACUCUGAAUUUAACACCAUGGAUUGGAAAGGAAAUGAAUGCUGGUUUUGCAUCAUGCAUCUGUCUCCGGUCUCAGGUCUCAACCAAAAUUAUAGCGCCAUUACUGAUGCGUCAAUCUAGACGGUCUGAAAUUCAAGUGGGACUUCACCUGGGGUUGGAUUUGACGUUGCCGAAAGUAAAAAAGGCAGAUGGCUCUAGAACCAAAUGUGCCUGGUGACGUUAAUUUCUAGCUUGAAAGGCUAACUUUUUUUAUCUCCUACUCUUUUUCUACUCCAGUCAACUGCCUUGGUGCAUUGUGUUCAUAUAAAUUUAAUAAUAGUACUCAUUUUGCUGGUGUAAUUUUGCAUUUUUCUUAUAAUACUACUACUGUUCUGAGCCACAAAAUUCUGGGGCGGGCGCUUAAGAUUAUGACGAAACUAGUUUGAUGCAUCACCAAAGCAUUAUUAUUUCAUUGUGGAAGGUUUCGAAGACGGUUGGGGCUCAUACAUAUGUCAAUGCGGUGUUUGUCUCAAAUAAUUUACUGUCACGGUUGGGCCGUAAAUCUAAAUUAUGAAAAAGUUCGAGCAAAUUGCAAUGGCAAACAUAUGAUAUCAAAGGUGGAGGUGUACACGAUCUAGUUAAUAAAUCUACUCUUUGUUCAAAAAAUGCUUGUGACCUGCACUUGGCUUCAUACAUGAUAUGUUACUGUGUCAGAACAAAUGCAACAAGUACGAGAAAAGGCGUAUUAACGAUUACUCAAGCACAGAUCCGAGACACAUCCAUAACUGGAUUCCAACUGAUUAGCUUUGUUUAACGAAAAGUAAAAUUGAAAUAAGGAGCUGUGCUGCUGCACUCAAGAUUAAACGUACGUACGUGGCAUGGAUGAGGAAAUUAGCUUCUUCUAAGGUUUUUUUUAUAUAUAUAUAUAUAUAUUUUUUUUUUCUUUUAUAAAUAAAUAAAAAAUUUUGAAUUCAAAAGAUUUUUUCUUCCGUCUUAUGGAUCGUUCAAUCCAACCUUCCCUCCCUCCCUCGCGCAGUUCUAAGUUCUAGCCAGUUGUUACCUGCUUUUUAGUACGUACAGCGGUCACUGCUUAGUCAAAUAGGGUCUUAAACUCGAUGACAAUUGCCUGCAUUUCCAUUGAUUAAGUGGACCAACAGAUCAUUAUUUACAUCAUCAAAACAAGCAGCUAGCUCUGCACUAUCAUAUCUAUCUAUUUAUGCACUGUUUGCCUUUUGCUGCUACAUCACCAGGACCCUUGCCUUGAGAACAGCGACAAAAAAAUCAAUCCCACCCAAAAAGAGAUAAGAGGACCUCCAAAAUCUAAAACGCUGCUUAAUGAAUUGUUGGUGGUUUCGACGUAGAAAGAAGUGGGGGGUUUUAUCUCAGUAGCGAGAAUGGUCAACGAGUAUGGGAUGAAAGCGCAAGAGCAAUGAUUCCAAUUGCCCUCGCACUGCCUGCGAUUCUCUGAACAUCAUGCGGCCACGUUUUUAGAGAUUACUAGCGCGCGUGCGCAAUCAUUGCUAACUCUCUCCGUCUGUCUCUUUUCCUUGUGAAAUUAUGAUGCGUGGGGUUGAGGAAUGGAACGCGAUACGGAGAUAUGUUUAUAUAUGCUGCUCACUGCUGUAUAUUGUGGACCUUUUUUUCCCGUGUCUUCUGCGCGUUAUGAUUCAGUGCUACUGGAGAGAAAAUUGUUCUCUUGGUCAUUGAAUAUUACAGUAAAUGCUUUUCCAACCCUCCAUGCUUUUUAGCUCUUGUUUCAGAGAAGCUGAUGUCGACUUGUCAUGCAGGCGUUUGGUUCGUGUUGGAAACCAGAGGCUGAUAUGAUCCAUUAUUGUCGGCUAAUGCUGCAUCUACUCAACUACUAGUUUCUGAAGAAUAGAUAGGCUUGCAUUACGUGUAUAUUUUUAAAAAAAAAGAAGACAAAAAACUAUGCGUGCAUUGUGCAGCCGCAUUCUUUGAAGUUUCUUGUCAUGGACAGCAAACAAAAAAAUAGCAAUAAUUCAAACAGCCAAAUCUUUCUCAUCAUCUAUUGUCUUUUUCCGAUUAAUUAGUACUCCUAAUUGAGACCAUAAGGUGUUGCCACAUAUUCUUGACAAACUUCGCCCCGUCUGGAUGGAAAUGAACCGUAUGCUCAUGUUUUACCUGUAUCCAA